GGGGCUGAUUCUGGAUUCGACGGGAUUUGCGAAACCCAAGGUGCAUGCCGAGGGGCGGUUGGCCUCGUAAAAAGCCGCAAAAAAAUAGUCGCAAACGACGAAACCUACGCUUUAGCAGCUUAAUAACCUGCUUAGAGCCCUCUCUCCCUAGCCUCCGCUCUUAGGACGGGGAUCAAGAGAGGUCAAACCCAAAAGAGAUCGCGUGGAUGCCCUGCCUGGGGUUGAAGCGUUAAAACGAAUCAGGCUAGUCUGGUAGUGGCGUGUCCGUCCGCAGGUGCCAGGCGAAUGUAAAGACUGACUAAGCAUGUAGUACCGAGGAUGUAGGAAUUUCGGACGCGGGU
Molecule: transfer-messenger RNA, 341 nt
Filed under: Salmonella enterica subsp. enterica serovar Enteritidis
Lineage: Bacteria; Pseudomonadati; Pseudomonadota; Gammaproteobacteria; Enterobacterales; Enterobacteriaceae
Description: partial transfer-messenger RNA
Rfam family: transfer-messenger RNA
About the family: Bacterial tmRNA, also known as 10Sa RNA or SsrA, is named for its dual tRNA and mRNA-like properties. Its role is to liberate the mRNA from a stalled ribosome.
Source: RNAcentral